Long non-coding RNA from Trachymyrmex cornetzi, 455 nucleotides. RefSeq lists it as uncharacterized. Lineage: Eukaryota; Metazoa; Arthropoda; Insecta; Hymenoptera; Formicidae. The record is from RefSeq and is a predicted model, not a curated record. The transcript is spliced from 3 exons.
GCGGUCAUUCCCAAUUUACAAAUAUCACUCUUCGAUCAUCGCCACCGCGAUACAAGAUCGAAUAACCAAAACAAGAAAUAUCAGCGGACUGAUAGUUUUACAUUUUUUUUGUAUGCGUUAAUAAAAUCAAAUAUAUAACAAAUAUAUAAAAUAGGUAAUACUAAAGUAAAUAAGGUUAAUAAAAUUAGACACAAAAUGGAAUGUUUGAUCAUUGCUUUGUGCACUGAGAAGCGUAAAUGCGAAGCAAAAUAUACAGAUACGAAUAGAUUAUAUACAUAAGUCUACUUUGGAUUUUCUCAAACUCUCAGGACGCCACGUAUCAUCGUAAAGCUGAAAGGAGCUUAAUUCAACCCUUUGAUUUGCUGCGGAACUGAAUGCGAAAAGCGAUUCGCUGGGAAAUUAGGAGCGCGACUUUUUGAGGACAUUAUAAGGAAACUUUACGGCUAAUAUAUUUC